RNAcentral lists this ribosomal RNA (476 nucleotides) under uncultured anaerobic ammonium-oxidizing bacterium. Its description in RNAcentral is "bacterial SSU rRNA". It matches the Rfam family "Bacterial small subunit ribosomal RNA", at positions 365 to 832 of the family's 1533-position model. The record is from RNAcentral.
UUCGCAAUGCCCGAAAGGGUGACAAUGCGACGCCGCGUGUGCGAUGAAGGUUUUCGGAUUGUAAAGCACUGUCAGCUGGGAGGAAUCUCUGGAGGCUUAACAAGUCUUCAGGGUGACAGUGCCAGCAGAGGAAGCCACGGCUAACUCCGUGCCAGCAGCCGCGGUAAUACGGAGGUGGCAGGCGUUACUCGGAUUGAUUGGGUGUAAAGGGCGUGUAGGUGGUGAAUUAAGUCGAGUGUGAAAUCCCUUGGCUCAACCAAGGAACUGCAUUCGAAACUGAUUUGCUUGAGCGAUGGAGAGGAAAGCGGAAUUCCCGGUGUAACAGUGAAAUGUGUAGAUAUCGGGAGGAACACCAGUGGCGAAGGCGGCUUUCUGGACAUCUGCUGACACUGAAACGCGAGAGCUAGGGGAGCAAACAGGAUUAGAUACCCUAGUAGUCCUAGCCGUAAACGAUGGGCACUAAGUAGAGGGGUUUU